GAGGCAGGAGAAUUGCUUGAACCCAGGAGGCGGAGGUUGCAGUGAGCCGAGAUCGCGCCACUGCACUCCAGCUCUGGGCGACAGAGCAAGACUCCAUCUCGGGAGGGAACAAAAAAGUAAAUUUCAACAUUGUAAUCAUUAACCUCAAUUAUCCAUAAAACUAACUCCCUAGAAGGUCUCAGGUGGGCAGUUUUACUAUGCUCAAAGCUAAAUGUGUGGGGUGCAAUGAUCAGUAAUAGACCACUACUGAUUAUCCAAACAAAUGAUUACUAGUCAGGCAGCUAGAAUGCAACUAACAACAAAUUUACUUAAGUGUAUGUCUAAUCUGAGCUCCAGAUCCACACCUCCAGUGACCUGGGAGGUAGCACAGUAUGACAGUUAAAGAAUCAGGCUUGGAUUCAGACAGACUCGUUCCAGUCUCAGUUCUGCUAUGUAUUAUCUAGAAGGUCUUGGACAUGUGAGAAAAAGUUGGUCAGAUAAAAAGUGUUACAUAGCCGGGUGCGGUGGCUUGCGCCUGUAAUCUCAGCACUUUAGGAGGCUGAGGUGGGUGGAUUAUUUAACGUCAGGAGUUCGAGACCAACCUGGCCAACAUGGUUAAGACUCCGUCUCUACUAAAAAUACAAAAAUCAGCCAGGCGUGGUGGCGAGCGCCUGUAAUCACAGCUAGUGGGGAGGCUGAGGCAGAAGAAUCGCUUGAACCCAGGAGGUGGAGGCUGCAGUGAGCCGAGAUCGUGCCACUGCAUUCCAGCCUGGG
RNAcentral lists this long non-coding RNA (753 nucleotides) under Homo sapiens (human). RNAcentral's name for it is "HSALNT0377458". Lineage: Eukaryota; Metazoa; Chordata; Mammalia; Primates; Hominidae. The record is from RNAcentral.